AGAAACUCGUCCUCCAGGUUUAAAUAAAAACAGAGCUUUCGUGAUUUCUAUGUUAUUGUUUUCUUUGUUGUGAAUGUUGUUCUCUGUUUUGCAGACGGCUGGACACAAGGAUCUUCUUGAAGAUGAUCCUUACCUGAAACAGAGACUGAGACUUCGUAACUCUUACAUCACAACUCUCAAUGUCUGUCAAGCUUACACUUUGAAGAGGAUCCGUGACCCGAGUUACAAUGUGACGCUACGUUACGUCCUCACAUCUCUAAGGAGAUUGCGGAAUCGAGCAAAGAACUCAUCGAGCUUAACCCGACUAGCGAGUACGCGCCUGGACUCGAAGAUACACUCAUCUUGACCAUGAAGGGUGUCGCUGCUGGUCUACAGAACACCGGUAGAGUAAAAACAGAGAUGAGUCUCCACUCUCCUUUUUAUAUUCCCUCUAAUAAUUGGAAAAUAAAAAAAAAUUGCGGUUGGAUUUCUUGAUUUGUUUUAUGUAAUCCACCGUCAAAGUGUCGAUCUUUGUGUACUAAUAACUCUUACGAGAUCAUGAACACAUGCUCUGUUUUUCUCGGAUGCAACAAAACAGAGCGGGAGAGAAUCUUCUUGUUUGUUUCUCUUACCAAGCGGUUUGAUUCAAAUAAUAAAUAAUAAACCAUUUUGGUUUAGUUUUGCCUCGUAGUGCUUUUGUUUGGUUCGGUUUGACUGUUUCUUUUUUUUAUUUUAUUGUUUCGAUUACGGUUCUUUGUCCUUUGUCCUUUGUCGUCUACUCAACUUUCACACAUGUCGACUCCCGAAAACGGCAGACAUGUUUGCUAAAAGAGGCCGUUGAAAAAGGAAAGUGGUGCAAAGAAAACGACACGGUGUUUAGGUCUCGUCUAUACUCUAUAGACACGCCUUGCAUUUUUUCGAUUCGGUAACGCCCCAAUUGCUGUAUUUAUUGCCGGGAAUUUAUAGCGUACAUGUACGGUAUACCUGUUUUUUACUAAGACGUACUUUUAUGCGUAAUAAGAGUACAUUUUUAGUUUAACUCUCAUAGGUCAAAAAGUUCACACUCCAAAAAGUCGUUGGCUGACAGUCACGCGCCUCUCAACUGAUUUUAAAGUAAGUAAAAGAUAUUCAGAAAUAUUUUUGCUAAAAGUUGAGGAAGGCCAAAGAAAAUGAUUAUCGACAAAAGGAAAAAUACUAGUAUAAAAUUCAACGAAUAAAUAGGUGUCAAUAGACCACGAGUACAGGGCACCGACUACAACCGCGGCAGUAUAGCACCGGCCAAACGACCGCAAAGUUCAUAACUUUUCUUCAUUUUCAGUUGUUCAAAAAAAAAGAGAAAACUUCAUUUGAUAACUUUUUUUAAGUUUAUUUUUACAAAAAUAGUAUUCAAAAAGAAAAAAUGAUCGGAAUAGAUUUUAUUAAAAUUUAAAUAUGCAUUCAUAUCUUUAAGAUUAACUAAUAUUGAUUUAGGAUUUAGAGUUAAUAGUUAAAGUUUUGUAGAUGAAUUUCAAAUUAAAAAAAAAUUAAAAUUUUCAAAAGAAAAAAAAUAUUUUGAUCAUUUUAUUUUUGAAAGCUAUUUUUAUGACAAAAACUUAAAAAUAGUUAUUCGAGAGAAUUGUCAAAAAAAAAAAAGUUAUAUUUAUUUAUGAGCGUUAUUUAUGAGCGUUAUUAUUUUCAUUUUGCAAUAAGUUAUUAGAUUUUAUCUGCUUCUCAAUCCCUUAAAGAGUGGCAACUUACAUAAUUAACAACAGUCGCUUGUGGCACAAACAUAAUCAGUCUCUAAUUAAUCCGUUUCUCCUUUUUCUGUACAGUAACGACUAAAGUAUUAUAACAAACCCAACUUUUAUAUCAAUCACAUUUCUCCCUCUCUUUAAUAGAAAGUUAAUAAUAACAGUCAAAUAUACUAUUUAAUUACAAAAGUGAGAUUAUAUACAAAAUUCUAGUAUUUUUAGAUGGAGUUAUUCAUGAAUUUGGUUAGAAUGUACGAAAAUAAAAUGCAAUAGUAGAAAAUGAAUAAAAAUUAUGUUAUUUAUUGAUGAAAAUGUUGUGAAAAAGAAGAGAACUAAAAUGACAAGAUGGUUCACUUUCUUUAACUUUAAAAGGAAAAAAAAAUGAAGGAUCAGAAUAGUCCUCUUUUGCCUGUUUCAGUAAAGCCCCUUUCUUCAGUCACAUACAAACUUCUCUUAUGUACACAAAGUAAUCUCCAACCAACCAGUAGCAUCAUCUCUCAAUACCUAAACAAGUGAAACUAGAAGAAGGAGCCUAUGCAGAAAAAUUUGAAUGGAAAGAAGGGAAGAGAGACAGAUCACAGGGCAAUAAAGAGGGGGGGGGGAAUGAAUGAACAAAUCAUAAAGAGCUGACACUCUACACUAAUGAGGUUCCCUGGUUAUGAAUCAUCUUCUUAAGAAGUUAAGUGGGAUUAUUGGAGAAGUUUCACAAGGGUAAUGAGGAGUCCUAGAAGAGUGAUUCUUUCUAGUAUUAACCGCUAUAGUGCCUCACAGAGUACUCCAAUACUUCUUUGCUUGGACAGACAAUCUCCUUUACUCGAGUACCGUUUUUGUAUAUCUUCACUGUUGGUACAACCCUCACGUUCUCUGCAUUACCUAUCGAAGGACAUUUAUCGAUGUCCACCUAACCCAAAAAAGAUAGGUUUAGAGACAAUAGCUUCCUAAGUUAAAUUAUUAUAAAAUACUCCAUCUGUUCCUGAAAGUAAGAUUUUCUAUAGUAUGCACGCUUAUUAAAAAUUUAAUAAAUGUUUAUAAUUUAAUUUAUUUUUUACUUUCUUAUACACUUUCCAAUAAUUUUCCACCAAUAAAAUUUAAUCAAUUCAAAUAUUCUCAAUUAAUGUUCCUCAAAAGUAUAAAAAAAUACCUUAACAAUAUAGAAAAUCUAUCUUUGUGGAACGUUAUAUACCAAACCAUAUCCAAAUCCUACGGUUUUUAUAAAAUUAUAUCCAUUCGGUUUAUAUGGUAUAUACCAAAACCAAACCAUAUUGUCUAUUUCGGUUCGGUUCGGUUCAGUACGGUUCGGUUUUACCAUAUUGAACAGCCCUAACGGCUGCUGACUAGAUUUAGAAAAGGCACAAAAUAUAUAUAGUUGUGUCCCAAGCACUAGUGGACCUCAAAAAUGAUUAAAGCCCAACUGAUUCAAAGCAUUAUUCAACACGUUUGGUGAAAAACUCAGAGCCAACUUCGGAGAAACUAAGAAACUCGUCCUCCAGGUUUAAAUAAAAACAGAGCUUUCGUGAUUUCUAUGUUAUUGUUUUCUUUGUUGUGAAUGUUGUUCUCUGUUUUGCAGACGGCUGGACACAAGGAUCUUCUUGAAGAUGAUCCUUACCUGAAACAGAGACUGAGACUUCGUAACUCUUACAUCACAACUCUCAAUGUCUGUCAAGCUUACACUUUGAAGAGGAUCCGUGACCCGAGUUACAAUGUGACGCUACGU
RNAcentral lists this long non-coding RNA (3423 nucleotides) under Brassica napus (rape). RNAcentral describes it as "long non-coding RNA (BNAP_LNC025611)". The record is from RNAcentral. Lineage: Eukaryota; Viridiplantae; Streptophyta; Magnoliopsida; Brassicales; Brassicaceae.